UCUUUAUCGGAGAGUUUGAUCCUGGCUCAGGACGAACGCUGGCGGCGUGCCUAAUACAUGCAAGUCGAGCGGACUUAAAAAG
This 82-nucleotide ribosomal RNA is filed under the name Niallia taxi. RNAcentral describes it as "Bacillus sp. M5HDSG1-1 partial 16S ribosomal RNA". It matches the Rfam family "Bacterial small subunit ribosomal RNA", at positions 1 to 79 of the family's 1533-position model. Lineage: Bacteria; Bacillati; Bacillota; Bacilli; Caryophanales; Bacillaceae. The record is from RNAcentral.